UACAGAGGUCCCAAGCGUUGUUCGGAUUCAUUGGGCGUAAAGGGUGCGUAGGCGGCGCGGUAAGUCGGGUGUCAAAUCUCGGAGCUUAACUCCGAAACUGCAUUCGAUACUGCCGUGCUUGAGGACUGGAGAGGAGACUGGAAUUUACGGUGUAGCGGUGAAAUGCGUAGAUAUCGUAAGGAAGACCAGUGGCGAAGGCGGGUCUCUGGACAGUUCCUGACGCUGAGGCACGAAGGCUAGGGGAGCAAACGGG
Molecule: ribosomal RNA, 253 nt
Filed under: uncultured bacterium
Lineage: Bacteria
Description: partial 16S ribosomal RNA
Rfam family: Bacterial small subunit ribosomal RNA
Source: RNAcentral